CCUAUGAUGAGAAGUGAGUUGAAUGACGUAGGCUUUAUGAUACAGCAUUAGGCUGCUGACCUGAUGAUGCUUCAGAAGGUGGGUCAUCUGCUUCAAAUGAUCCUGGACCAUUGAACUGUGAUGAUGCUGGUGACCGGAUGCCUUGAGCAGAUGAUGGUGAUGGCUGAGAAAUCCCAGUGGCUCAUGACAUGGCUCCAGGAAGACUUUCCCAACACCUAAAGAAUUUCUUUAUUCCUUUUCCCAGUCUGGUAUUUCUACUUACUAUUUUGCCAGCUCCUAGACCUACUGUGUCUGGGAUCCAGGGUGAAGCCAAAGCCACAACCACCCUGAUGCUCUGGAUUGCUCAGAAAUUCCAAAUUUCCUGCUGCCUCACUGACUGGAACAGACUGGAAUGCAACACAGCUGAUGAUAACAGCAGAGGCCUCAAACCACAAGGGCAGGCAGCCCCAGGAGCUAAUCCUUGCUCCACCACUUCUGGUGAAAGAUAAGGUCCAAGUUACUUAGCCUUCAUCAUAGGUCACAUUUCCCUGGAAAAAGAGACGACGUCUCUGAGGAGUGUGUGGAGGAGGCUCAUCGGGGAGUGAAUUCAGAAACAACAUCUGCGAUGGGGAGGGAGGCAGGACUUGGUGGAGGGAGAAGUUGGAGUGUGGUGCAGCUUCUAUGGAGGCCUCCAGCGAUCCCACAGGGAGCUGAGAUGGCUCUUCGGAAUUGUUCUGGUUGUGGACAAAUGGUUAGGCGCUUGUUCUUCCAUGUUGACCUAUCACAGAUGUAGGCUGCCUUCUGAGAAAGGAUCUGAGACGAAAGAUCUUUUUGAUUGACUCUUAGAGCAGCAGCCAGAGGUCCUGGUAGUAGGCAGAAUGAACACCUCCAUCCUGAGGUGUACCUGGGCAGCCCAUUGUACCUUUGCCUACAUUCUCAGUAUAUCACAGAACCAAGGAAGUGUCCUUGGCCACUCCACUGAAACUGCAAUCCCUUAAUCUCAUGUCCUCCUACCCCAUCUGACUGAUAUUCAUUGCAUUUAUCAUGAACUGACAUCCUUUAUAAGAAUUUAUCUGCUCAGUAUUCUGUAACAACCUA
This is a long non-coding RNA of Capra hircus (goat), 1077 nucleotides long. RefSeq lists it as uncharacterized. Lineage: Eukaryota; Metazoa; Chordata; Mammalia; Artiodactyla; Bovidae. The transcript is spliced from 3 exons. The record is from RefSeq and is a predicted model, not a curated record.